Molecule: transfer RNA, 73 nt
Filed under: Cordylochernes scorpioides
Lineage: Eukaryota; Metazoa; Arthropoda; Arachnida; Pseudoscorpiones; Chernetidae
Description: tRNA-Asp
Rfam family: tRNA
About the family: Transfer RNA (tRNA) molecules are approximately 80 nucleotides in length. Their secondary structure includes four short double-helical elements and three loops (D, anti-codon, and T loops).
Source: RNAcentral
UCCCUCGGUAGUAUAGUGGUUUGUAUUCCCGCCUGUCACGCGGGGCGACCGGGGUUCGAUUCCCGCCGGGGAG